GAGCAGAGUGACAGGUGGUGCAUGGUUGUCGUCAGCUCGUGUCGUGAGAUGUUGGGUUAAGUCCCGCAACGAGCGCAACCCUUGAUCUUAGUUGCCAUCAUUAAGUUGGGCACUCUAAGGUGACUGCCGGUGACAAACCGGAGGAAGGUGGGGAUGACGUCAAAUCAUCAUGCCCCUUAUGACCUGGGCUACACACGUGCUACAAUGGACGGUACAAAGAGCUGCAAGACCGCGAGGUGGAGCUAAUCUCAUAAAACCGUUCUCAGUUCGGAUUGUAGGCUGCAACUCGCCUACAUGAAGCUGGAAUCGCUAGUAAUCGCGGAUCAGCAUGCCGCGGUGAAUACGUUCCCGGGCCUUGUACACACCGCCCGUCACACCACGAGAGUUUGUAACACCCGAAGU
Molecule: ribosomal RNA, 402 nt
Filed under: Bacillus subtilis
Lineage: Bacteria; Bacillati; Bacillota; Bacilli; Caryophanales; Bacillaceae
Description: bacterial SSU rRNA
Rfam family: Bacterial small subunit ribosomal RNA
Source: RNAcentral